This 448-nucleotide ribosomal RNA is filed under the name uncultured bacterium. RNAcentral describes it as "bacterial SSU rRNA". It matches the Rfam family "Bacterial small subunit ribosomal RNA", at positions 330 to 793 of the family's 1533-position model. The record is from RNAcentral.
UCCAGACUCCUACGGGAGGCAGCAGUGGGGGAUAUUGCACAAUGGGGGGAACCCCGAUGCAGCGACGCCGCGUGGGUGAAGGAGUAUUUCGGUAUGUAAAGCCCUAUCGGCAGGGAAGAAGCAAGACGGUACCUGACUAAGAAGCCCCGGCUAACUACGUGCCAGCAGCCGCGGUAAUACGUAGGGGGCGAGCGUUAUCCGGAUUCACUGGGUGUAAAGGGAGCGUAGACGGCCAAGCAAGCCAGGGGUGAAAGCCCGGGGCCCAACCCCGGGACUGCCCUUGGAACUGCAUGGCUGGAGUGCGGGAGGGGCAGGCGGAAUUCCUGGUGUAGCGGUGAAAUGCGUAGAUAUUAGGAGGAACACCAGUGGCGAAGGCGGCCUGCUGGACAGAAACUGACGUUGAGGCUCGAAAGCGUGGGGAGCAAACAGGAUUAGAUACCCGCGUAAG